This 1370-nucleotide ribosomal RNA is filed under the name Celenna sp. MT-2014. RNAcentral describes it as "16S ribosomal RNA". Lineage: Eukaryota; Metazoa; Arthropoda; Insecta; Lepidoptera; Geometridae. The record is from RNAcentral.
GAAAGGAAUUAAUUAAUAAAUUUAUAAAUAAUAAAAUUAAUUUUAAUUUUUAUAAUUUUUAAUGGGGGUUAAAGUAUUAUAUAAAGAAAAAAUUAAUAAUUUUAUAGUUAAUUAGUAUUGUAAAAUAAAUUUUAAAUAUUUGAAAAUAAAUUUAAUAAAAAGUAAAUUUAAUUUAUUGUAUCUUGUGUAUCAGAGUUUAUUAAAAAUUUUUAAUUAAUUUUAAUUUCUCGAAUUUAAAAGAUUUAAAUAAUUAUGAAAGUUAUUAUGGUAAAAAUAUUUUUAAUAAUUAUUUUGAAAUGAGAUGUUAUUCGUUUUUAAAUAUAUCUAGUUUUUUUAGAAAAAAAUUUAAUUUUUAAUUUAUUUUAUUUAUAAAUUUAAUUAAUAAAUUUUAUAAAAUUUAAAUUUUAUAAUUUAAGGGAUAAGCUUUAAAUUAAAAUAUUAUAAUAUAAAAAUUUAAAUUGAAAAUUUUAUAAUUUAUAUUGUUAAUAAAUUUUAUUUUAUUAUAAAUAAUUUCAUUAAAUAUAAAAUUUAAUUAAAAAAUUUAAUUUUAUAUAAAAAAAUUAUUUUUAAUUAAAUAAAAUUAGUUAUAAUGAUAAAAUUAGUAUAUUUUAAUUAUAUAAUUUUAAUAUUAAUUUAAUUAAAAAUUAAUUAAAAUUAAUUCGGCAAAUAUUUAUAUUCACUUGUUUAACAAAAACAUGUCUUUUAGAAUUUAAUUUAAAGUCUAAUCUGCCCACUGAUAUUUUAAUUAAAGGGCUGCAGUAUUUUGACUGUACAAAGGUAGCAUAAUCAUUAGUCUCUUAAAUGGUGACUUGUAUGAAAGAUUGGAUGAAAUAUAUACUGUCUCUUAAUUAAUUUAUAGAAUUUAAUUUUUUAUUUAAAAAGUUAAAAUAAAUUAAAAAGACGAGAAGACCCUAUAGAGUUUUAUAUUUUAAUUUUUAUUUUUAUUAUUUAUAAAAUUUUAAUUUUUAAAUAUUUAAAUAUUUUGUUGGGGUGAUAAAAAAAUAUAAAUAACUUUUUUUUUUAAUUAUACAUAAAUAAGUGAGAAAAUGAUCCAAUUUUAUUGAUUAUAAGAAAAAAUUACCUUAGGGAUAACAGCGUAAUUUUUUUUUUUAGUUCAUAUAAGAAAAAAAGUUUGCGACCUCGAUGUUGGAUUAAGAUAAAAUUUAAAUGCAAAAGUUUAAAAUUUUUGAUCUGUUCGAUCAUUAAAAUCUUACAUGAUCUGAGUUCAAACCGGUGUAAGCCAGGUUGGUUUCUAUCUUUUAAAAUUUAAAAUAUUUUAGUACGAAAGGAUCAAAUAUUUUAAUUAAAUUAUUAUUAAAUGAAUUUUAUUAAUUAUAUAAAAAAAAAUUUUUUUUGUUAUUAAAUUAGCU